GUGCUGCAUGUCACUUAAAGAACUCAUUAAUACCAAGAGCAUGAACAAGGGAAUGCAAAUAACUGUUGUAGCAGGCGUGCCACAUUUUUCCAAUUCUUUCAAUCAACAUCUCUUUCCACCAAGGUUGAUAGAUAUUUAAGAUACAGGCUGCAUUCAUGAGACAAAGAACCUUCAAGAACACUUAACACAGAUCAUACAUGUGAUAGAAACACUUCUUGUGCAAUGGUGCAAUGAAAGCAACUCCUGAAACUGAAAAAUGAUAUUCUCAUAGUAAAGUAAUAAUUUUGAAUGUGCAUGCAAACCUGCCAAGCAUCCGAGAUGCUCCCUCAAUUUUUCGGUAAAAUAUCGACCAAUUUGGGCUGUUCUACUGAAUAUACAAGAUAUGAAUCUAAUAUUAAGGGUAGGAUAAAAUCAGAAAAUGUUGCUGAAUUAUGCAACAAUGAUCAUCUGAAUUUGGCAACUAUAGAUCACAUGGAAGACAAGGCCUGGUAGGGUUCAGGCUCUUGCAUAUUUCAGCACACCAGCUACUCUUACUGGAUCACCAUGAGAAACUUACAACCCUGGUGGUUGAUGCUAAAGGGCGUUUUAAUUACACUAAUAGAAUCUGCAGCUUGAAAAGUGCUUACCGAGCUUGGAAAGGAAAAGAUUGAAGUAGCAGAACAGGAAGGUUGGUCCCCUGUGCACUUCCCAGUCCUUUUUGGUCAGUAUAUUAGCAUAGAGAAAACAAUUCUGCUUUCUUUCCAGAUAAAUGCCAGUAGGUGACUUCUAGAUUUGUUAGACCUUAAGAAAAAAUAGUUAAACUGAUGAAAGGGAAAAGGGUAAUGGGUUGCUAGCUCCUUUAACUAAAGCAUCUACAAUUUCUCAAAGAGAAUACUGAAGGCCGACCGACAAUUCAUGCAGUGAAAACUAUAUUCAGUAGCAAGAAACUAAAUACCUACUGAAUUCUAAGGCGCUACAGUCCAAAGAUGAAUAUUAACCAUCAAUGUAACAAAUAAUCAGAUAGAAUUGAGCUUGUGAUGCCUGGGACUCUUUCAACUGUGCAAGCGCCUUUUCUUCCUCAAGAAGCUGAAACUCAUAGUAUUUAUAAUCUGGACAGCUUGAAUCAAACAAAAAUUUGAAAGGCGUAUCUCCAGGAUUCCUCUGGCGUGUGAUGUGCUCAAACUGCCUACCAUUUUUUGCAACAAAACUUGCUAAUUUGUCAGCAACUUUCCUCACUGCAGGAUCGCUUGGGGGAUAUGGUGCUGCAUGUCACUUAAAGAACUCAUUAAUACCAAGAGCAUGAACAAGGGAAUGCAAAUAACUGUUGUAGCAGGCGUGCCACAUUUUUCCAAUUCUUUCAAUCAACAUCUCUUUCCACCAAGGUUGAUAGAUAUUUAAGAUACAGGCUGCAUUCAUGAGACAAAGAACCUUCAAGAACACUUAACACAGAUCAUACAUGUGAUAGAAACACUUCUUGUGCAAUGGUGCAAUGAAAGCAACUCCUGAAACUGAAAAAUGAUAUUCUCAUAGUAAAGUAAUAAUUUUGAAUGUGCAUGCAAACCUGCCAAGCAUCAGAGAUGCUCCCUCAAUUUUUCGGUAAAAUAUCGACCAAUUUGGGCUGUUCUACUGAAUAUACAAGAUAUGAAUCUAAUAUUAAGGGUAGGAUAAAAUCAGAAAAUGUUGCUGAAUUAUGCAACAAUGAUCAUCUGAAUUUGGCAACUAUAGAUCACAUGGAAGACAAGGCCUGGUAGGGUUCAGGCUCUUGCAUAUUUCAGCACACCAGCUACUCUUACUGGAUCACCAUGAGAAACUUACAACCCUGGUGGUUGAUGCUAAAGGGCGUUUUAAUUACACUAAUAGAAUCUGCAGCUUGAAAAGUGCUUACCGAGCUUGGAAAGGAAAAGAUUGAAGUAGCAGAACAGGAAGGUUGGUCCCCUGUGCACUUCCCAGUCCUUUUUGGUCAGUAUAUUAGCAUAGAGAAAACAAUUCUGCUUUCUUUCCAGAUAAAUGCUAGUAGGUGACUUCAAGAUUUGUUAGACCUUAAGAAAAAUAGUUAAACUGAUGAAAGGGAAAAGGGUAAUGGGUUGCUAGCUCCUUUAACUAAAGCAUCUACAAUUUCUCAAAGAGAAUACUGAAGGCCGACCGACAAUUCAUGCAGUGAAAACUAUAUUCAGUAGCAAGAAACUAAAUACCUACUGAAUUCUAAGGCGCUACAGUCCAAAGAUGAAUAUUAACCAUCAAUGUAACAAAUAAUCAGAUAGAAUUGUAGACACAGAAUUAAAUUUUCCCAGGAAUAAUUGAUUUGAUGUUAUUGUAAAUAUUGACGGCCAUUUCUGAAAUACUGGUCAGCAAUCCCUUGCAUCAUUGAACAUAGAUGAGUUUUUAAUAAGCAUGAAAAAAGCAUAACCAGUAUCAAAGAAAACAUUAUAUAAGAACACAUCAUAUAUAAAAAGGAUGAAGCAUUAGCAUGGUCUCCUAUACAAAUCCUCUAUGCAAAAAGCAACUUAGAAGAAAGUCAGCUUCACAUGGAAUCCAUUUAAAGCCCGUAUCGCGUUCAGAGAGAGAGAAAGAGGAGAGAGGAAGGGAGGGGAAGGAGAAUAAUAUUUUUGUAGCUGCAUAUCUACAUCUAGCAUCACACCUACAAAGACUGAAUAAAUAAAACAAUAUAAAUUAUAAUAUACCAAUAGAAGAAGAACCAUUUAUGUAUCAAAAAAAGAUGGGAAAAGAAAUAUUUGACAAGCUUAAUCCAGAACAACCCCCACCCCCACUAUGGCAAAAAUAAAUUAAAAAAAAGGUAAUAGAGAAAGGUUUGUGAAUCAGCCACCUCAACCAAUUUACAUUUAUAAGCAUAUGCACGCACUCAUGCAAAAAUUGAAAGUAAUAGAAAAAGGCUUUUCAUCAAAUUGAAUAUAAGUAAAAGAACCAGUUGCAUAUUUUAUAUUGGUUCCCAUAUCUCUUUUCUUGUUUAGGGGCGUUUUGUGUACCAGCUUCCAUGUAAGAGUCAAUAUAAAAUAGUAGCACCUAAGGGAGCUUGACAUAUAAUAAAGCAAAAUAUUCUAAAAUUUCAUUACUUAAGAUAAAGUAAACAAUCAGCAAUUACCGCAUAUUAACAAUAAUGUAAAAAUACUAAAGCUUUCCUAACCCGCAAUUGCAGCAUAUAACAAACAUGAAAACAGGUAAUUACCAAC
This 3167-nucleotide long non-coding RNA is filed under the name Phoenix dactylifera (date palm). RNAcentral's name for it is "long non-coding RNA (PDAC_LNC000795)". Lineage: Eukaryota; Viridiplantae; Streptophyta; Magnoliopsida; Arecales; Arecaceae. The record is from RNAcentral.